This 146-nucleotide small nuclear RNA is filed under the name Suricata suricatta (meerkat). RNAcentral describes it as "U2 spliceosomal RNA (ENSSSUG00005014380.1)". It matches the Rfam family "U2 spliceosomal RNA". Rfam says of the family: U2 is a small nuclear RNA (snRNA) component of the spliceosome (involved in pre-mRNA splicing). Complementary binding between U2 snRNA (in an area lying towards the 5' end but 3' to hairpin I) and the branchpoint sequence (BPS) of the intron results the bulging out of an unpaired adenosine, on the BPS, which initiates a nucleophilic attack at the intronic 5' splice site, thus starting the first of two transesterification reactions that mediate splicing. Lineage: Eukaryota; Metazoa; Chordata; Mammalia; Carnivora; Herpestidae. The record is from RNAcentral.
AUCAUUUCUCGGCCUUUUGGCUAAGAUCAAGUGCAAAUUCAAAGACAGUUAAUACUACUUUAGGACUAUUUCAAGAAACCUUCUUUUAAAGAAUUUAUGAACUCUCUUCAUUUGAUGAAUUUAUCACAUGAUGUAGAAGGACUAUU